CAGGGGCCUCUCCGCUCCUGGGGUACAGCACAGACUUUUGCCCUUCCCCUCAACCAAGCAACAUUUGCUCAGCACAUACCCUGAGCUGGGCACAAAUUUGCUGAGGGCUGGAGAUCAAAGAUAAAUAAAAGUGUCGCAGCCUUAAAGGAUGUCAGUCUGUUGGGGCACAUUCAAAUUGGAUCAUUAUAAUGCAACUUGGGACGUGUGUCACUGGAGCUGCGCUUCAUGUCCCAUAAGUUUGCAACCACAAGUUGCACACCAGAGCCCAAGUCAAAUAGCACAGUACAAUGCCCUUUUGUUAGGGAAGGAGGACCGUGACUCACCCUAGCGUUUUCUCUGUGCACAGAAACAGAUGACCUGCGUAGGAGCAAAUGGCUAACCAAUGCUCCCUUAGAGACCCAGCCUCCUAGGAGGAGUCCUGACAGCUGACUCUUGAGGCAUGGCUUUUGCCAGGAGGUGCCAUGUCUGCACCCAGGAUCCGAACCGGUGAACCCCGGGCUGCCGAGAAGUGGAACAUGUGAACCUAACCCCUGUGCCACCAGUGGCUGUACCGUUCUGUCCUGUCCCAGAAGCAGUGAGUGAAAGUUCCUGUUGCUUCACAUCAUGGCAGGCCACUGUCAACACAUUUAGUCUGGCUUGUGACUUGGAUAUCUUUGUCCGACUUGUCUGGGAUAAGGGGGCUUUUCUUUCUGAAUUCCAGAACUACAUUAAUUAGGCACCAGGAGCCUCCAUUCCCAAACUCAAUUGGAGCAUCCAUCAUGGGCCCUUUGUGUCACCUUUGUGGGCCUUCUGGGGCAGGAGGAAGCAACACAAUAUCCAUGGAACAGGAGCAGAUUAACCUGUUACCUUGUAAGCAGGGUAAAUUCCAGGCCUUGCACAGAUCUUGACAGUCCUACAUUCAG
Molecule: long non-coding RNA, 902 nt
Filed under: Equus asinus (donkey)
Lineage: Eukaryota; Metazoa; Chordata; Mammalia; Perissodactyla; Equidae
Description: lncRNA (ENSEASG00005025494.1)
Source: RNAcentral